AUGACAUACGCUUUGUUCUGAUUAAGUGUUCUUUUGGUUAUGGGAUUUGUAGGUUUUUCUUCUAAACCUCCAAUUUAUGGGGUCUUAGGGUUAAUUAUUAGUGGUGCUAUGGGUUGCGUUAUUGUACUAAAUUAUGGUGGGGCUUUUAUGGGAUUAAUAGUCUUUUUGAUUUACUUGUAGGGGAUGAUGGUUGUUUUUGGCUAUACUGCGGUGGUGGCUAUUAAGGAAUAUCCAGAGGAGUGAGGAUCAAGCAUUGUGGUUUUAGAAACGUUAUUAUUGGGUUUAGCAGUAGAGUUGGUGUUAAGUUGAUGAGUGAGUAUGAUGGACUGGUGAUUGUAGUUAAUUUUAAUAGUAUGGGAAGUUGAAUAAUUUUUGAGGGUGAGGGGCCAGGGUUGGUUCGUGAAGAUUCUGUGGGUGCGGGUGCUUUCUAUAAUUAUGAGUGUUGAUUGGUGGUGGUUGCUGGUUGAACAUUGUUGGCUGGUGUUGAUGUUAUAAUUGAAAUUACUCAGGGCAACAGAUUAA
This 522-nucleotide long non-coding RNA is filed under the name Homo sapiens (human). Its description in RNAcentral is "non-protein coding lnc-CCDC115-2:1". Lineage: Eukaryota; Metazoa; Chordata; Mammalia; Primates; Hominidae. The record is from RNAcentral.